Molecule: ribosomal RNA, 396 nt
Filed under: uncultured bacterium
Lineage: Bacteria
Description: partial 16S ribosomal RNA
Rfam family: Bacterial small subunit ribosomal RNA
Source: RNAcentral
CCUACGUGCGGCAGCAGUGAGGAAUAUUGGUCAAUGGACGCGAGUCUGAACCAGCCAUGCCGCGUGCAGGAAGACGGCACUAUGAGGUGUAAACUGCUUUUGUACGAGGGUAAACGCAGAUACGCGUAUCUGGCUGAAAGUAUCGUAAGAAUAAGCAUCGGCUAACUCCGUGCCAGCAGCCGCGGUAAUACGGAGGAUUCAAGCGUUAUCCGGAUUUAUUGGGGUUAAAGGGUGCGUAGGCGGUCGGAUAAGUUAGGGGUGAAAUCCCGAGGCUCAACUUCGGCAUUGCCGCUGAUACUGUUCGGCUAGAGAGUAGUUGCGGUAGGCGGAAUGUGUGGUGUAGCGGUGAAAUGCUUAGAGAUCAUACAGAACACCGAUUGCGAAGGCAGCUUACCA